RNAcentral lists this ribosomal RNA (2888 nucleotides) under Pseudomonas sp. Ost2. Its description in RNAcentral is "23S ribosomal RNA". It matches the Rfam family "Bacterial large subunit ribosomal RNA". Lineage: Bacteria; Pseudomonadati; Pseudomonadota; Gammaproteobacteria; Pseudomonadales; Pseudomonadaceae. The record is from RNAcentral.
UCAAGUGAAGAAGCGCAUACGGUGGAUGCCUUGGCAGUCAGAGGCGAUGAAAGACGUGGUAGCCUGCGAAAAGCUUCGGGGAGUCGGCAAACAGACUUUGAUCCGGAGAUGUCUGAAUGGGGGAACCCAGCCAUCAUAAGAUGGUUAUCUUGUACUGAAUACAUAGGUGCAAGAGGCGAACCAGGGGAACUGAAACAUCUAAGUACCCUGAGGAAAAGAAAUCAACCGAGAUUCCCUUAGUAGUGGCGAGCGAACGGGGACUAGCCCUUAAGUGGCUUUGAGAUUAGCGGAACGCUCUGGAAAGUGCGGCCAUAGUGGGUGAUAGCCCUGUACGCGAAAAUCUCUUGGUCAUGAAAUCGAGUAGGACGGGGCACGAGAAACCUUGUCUGAAUAUGGGGGACCAUCCUCCAAGGCUAAAUACUACUGACUGACCGAUAGUGAACUAGUACCGUGAGGGAAAGGCGAAAAGAACCCCGGAGAGGGGAGUGAAAUAGAUCCUGAAACCGUAUGCGUACAAGCAGUGGGAGCCCACUUUGUUGGGUGACUGCGUACCUUUUGUAUAAUGGGUCAGCGACUUAUUUUCAGUGGCGAGCUUAACCGAAUAGGGGAGGCGUAGCGAAAGCGAGUCUUAAUAGGGCGUCUAGUCGCUGGGAAUAGACCCGAAACCGGGCGAUCUAUCCAUGGGCAGGUUGAAGGUUAGGUAACACUGACUGGAGGACCGAACCGACUACCGUUGAAAAGUUAGCGGAUGACCUGUGGAUCGGAGUGAAAGGCUAAUCAAGCUCGGAGAUAGCUGGUUCUCCUCGAAAGCUAUUUAGGUAGCGCCUCAUGUAUCACUGUAGGGGGUAGAGCACUGUUUCGGCUAGGGGGUCAUCCCGACUUACCAAACCGAUGCAAACUCCGAAUACCUACAAGUGCCGAGCAUGGGAGACACACGGCGGGUGCUAACGUCCGUCGUGAAAAGGGAAACAACCCAGACCGUCAGCUAAGGUCCCAAAGUCAUGGUUAAGUGGGAAACGAUGUGGGAAGGCUUAGACAGCUAGGAGGUUGGCUUAGAAGCAGCCACCCUUUAAAGAAAGCGUAAUAGCUCACUAGUCGAGUCGGCCUGCGCGGAAGAUGUAACGGGGCUCAAACCAUGCACCGAAGCUACGGGUAUCACUUAGGUGAUGCGGUAGAGGAGCGUUCUGUAAGCCUGUGAAGGUGAGUUGAGAAGCUUGCUGGAGGUAUCAGAAGUGCGAAUGCUGACAUGAGUAACGACAAUGGGUGUGAAAAACACCCACGCCGAAAGACCAAGGUUUCCUGCGCAACGUUAAUCGACGCAGGGUUAGUCGGUCCCUAAGGCGAGGCUGAAAAGCGUAGUCGAUGGAAAACAGGUUAAUAUUCCUGUACUUCUGGUUAUUGCGAUGGAGGGACGGAGAAGGCUAGGCCAGCUUGGCGUUGGUUGUCCAAGUUUAAGGUGGUAGGCUGAGAUCUUAGGUAAAUCCGGGAUCUUAAGGCCGAGAGCUGAUGACGAGUGUUCUUUUAGAACACGAAGUGGUUGAUGCCAUGCUUCCAAGAAAAGCUUCUAAGCUUCAGGUAACCAGGAACCGUACCCCAAACCGACACAGGUGGUUGGGUAGAGAAUACCAAGGCGCUUGAGAGAACUCGGGUGAAGGAACUAGGCAAAAUGGCACCGUAACUUCGGGAGAAGGUGCGCCGGUGAGGGUGAAGGACUUGCUCCGUAAGCUCAUGCCGGUCGAAGAUACCAGGCCGCUGCGACUGUUUAUUAAAAACACAGCACUCUGCAAACACGAAAGUGGACGUAUAGGGUGUGACGCCUGCCCGGUGCCGGAAGGUUAAUUGAUGGGGUUAGCUAACGCGAAGCUCUUGAUCGAAGCCCCGGUAAACGGCGGCCGUAACUAUAACGGUCCUAAGGUAGCGAAAUUCCUUGUCGGGUAAGUUCCGACCUGCACGAAUGGCGUAACGAUGGCGGCGCUGUCUCCACCCGAGACUCAGUGAAAUUGAAAUCGCUGUGAAGAUGCAGUGUAUCCGCGGCUAGACGGAAAGACCCCGUGAACCUUUACUAUAGCUUUGCACUGGACUUUGAAUUUGCUUGUGUAGGAUAGGUGGGAGGCUUUGAAGCGUGGACGCCAGUUCGCGUGGAGCCAUCCUUGAAAUACCACCCUGGCAACUUUGAGGUUCUAACUCAGGUCCGUUAUCCGGAUCGAGGACAGUGUAUGGUGGGUAGUUUGACUGGGGCGGUCUCCUCCUAAAGAGUAACGGAGGAGUACGAAGGUGCGCUCAGACCGGUCGGAAAUCGGUCGUAGAGUAUAAAGGCAAAAGCGCGCUUGACUGCGAGACAGACACGUCGAGCAGGUACGAAAGUAGGUCUUAGUGAUCCGGUGGUUCUGUAUGGAAGGGCCAUCGCUCAACGGAUAAAAGGUACUCCGGGGAUAACAGGCUGAUACCGCCCAAGAGUUCAUAUCGACGGCGGUGUUUGGCACCUCGAUGUCGGCUCAUCACAUCCUGGGGCUGAAGCCGGUCCCAAGGGUAUGGCUGUUCGCCAUUUAAAGUGGUACGCGAGCUGGGUUUAGAACGUCGUGAGACAGUUCGGUCCCUAUCUGCCGUGGACGUUUGAGAUUUGAGAGGGGCUGCUCCUAGUACGAGAGGACCGGAGUGGACGAACCUCUGGUGUUCCGGUUGUCACGCCAGUGGCAUUGCCGGGUAGCUAUGUUCGGAAAAGAUAACCGCUGAAAGCAUCUAAGCGGGAAACUUGCCUCAAGAUGAGAUCUCACUGGAACCUUGAGUUCCCUGAAGGGCCGUCGAAGACUACGACGUUGAUAGGCAGGGUGUGUAAGCGCUGUGAGGCGUUGAGCUAACCUGUACUAAUUGCCCGUGAGGCUUGACCA